RNAcentral lists this ribosomal RNA (437 nucleotides) under uncultured bacterium. RNAcentral's name for it is "partial 16S ribosomal RNA". It matches the Rfam family "Bacterial small subunit ribosomal RNA", at positions 29 to 507 of the family's 1533-position model. The record is from RNAcentral.
AGCGAACGCUGGCGGCAGGCUUAACACAUGCAAGUCGAGCGGGCAUCCUUGUGGUGUCAGCGGCAGACGGGUGAGUAACGCGUGGGAACGUGCCCUUCGGUUCGGAAUAACUCAGGGAAACUUGAGCUAAUACCGGAUACGUUCGAGAGCAGAAAGGUUUAUCUGCCGAAGGAUCGGCCCGCGUCUGAUUAGCUAGUUGGUGAGGUUACGGCUCACCAAGGCGACGAUCAGUAGCUGGUCUGAGAGGAUGAGCAGCCACACUGGGACUGAGACACGGCCCAGACUCCUACGGGAGGGAGCAGUGGGGAAUAUUGGACAAUGGGGGCAAACCUGAUCCAGCCAUGCCGCGUGAGUGAUGACGGCCUUAGGGUUGUAAAGCUCUUUUCUCCGGGACGAUAAUGACGGUACCGGAGGAAUAAGCCCCGGCUAACUUCGUG